RNAcentral lists this small nucleolar RNA (45 nucleotides) under Pyrobaculum neutrophilum V24Sta. Its description in RNAcentral is "PNEsR107". Lineage: Archaea; Thermoproteati; Thermoproteota; Thermoprotei; Thermoproteales; Thermoproteaceae. The record is from RNAcentral.
AUGUUGAGUUGAACCCGGCCUGACGUGUGAUGGCGCUCCGCCUAC